Molecule: microRNA, 23 nt
Filed under: Cavia porcellus (domestic guinea pig)
Lineage: Eukaryota; Metazoa; Chordata; Mammalia; Rodentia; Caviidae
Source: RNAcentral
AGGUUACCCAAGCAACUUUGCAU